AAUCCCUUAACAACAGAGAAUCAUUUCUAUAGUAAAUCGUCCCACCUGAUUUUUUCGCACUAGCGACUGAAUCCCCAACCUUGCUGAUGACCACCAUGUCCCCAGCGCCCUAGAGUGAAGCCUUUUAUACUCCCGCCUCGAUUACUUCGGUCACCGAUUUUGUGUGUCUGCUUCAAUCCAGGGAGUGGUGAUGAUCUUGACCUUGCCUUGGCGUCUUGACUUCGGUCGGCCUGGUUUGGUGGGCGCUGUGGAGGUCUGAAAGGU
This is a small nucleolar RNA of 264 nucleotides. It matches the Rfam family "Fungal small nucleolar RNA U3". From Rfam's summary of the family: Small nucleolar RNAs (snoRNAs) are involved in the processing and modification of rRNA in the nucleolus. There are two main classes of snoRNAs: the box C/D class, and the box H/ACA class.